This 484-nucleotide ribosomal RNA is filed under the name uncultured bacterium. RNAcentral describes it as "partial 16S ribosomal RNA". It matches the Rfam family "Bacterial small subunit ribosomal RNA", at positions 29 to 507 of the family's 1533-position model. The record is from RNAcentral.
AAUGAACGCUGGCGGCAGGCCUAACACAUGCAAGUCGAGCGGACGAACGGAGCUUGCUCCUGUAUUCAGCGGCGGACGGGCGAGUAAUGCAUAGGAAUCUGCCUGGCAGUGGGGGAUAACGUAAGGACACGGGAGCUAAUACCGCAUACGAUCUGAGGGAGAAAGUGGGGGUUCAUCAGACAAAACGGUAUCUGAUGAGCCUAGGACGGAUUAGCUAGUUGGUGGGGUAAAGGCUUACCAAGGCGACGAUCCGUAACUGGUCUGAGAGGAUGAUCAGUCACACUGGAACUGAGACACGGUCCAGACUCCUACGGGAGGCAGCAGUGGGGAAUAUUGGACAAUGGGCGAAAGCCUGAUCCAGCCAUGCCGCGUGUGUGAAGAAGGUCUUCGGAUUGUAAAGCACUUUAAGUUGGGAGGAAGGGCAGUAAGUGAAUACCUUGCUGUUUUGACGUUACCAACAGAGUAAGCACCGGCUAACUUCGUG